GGAGUUGUGGCUCAGUGGUAGAGUGUUUGCCUGGCAUGUAUGAGGCACUCGGUUUGAUCCCCAGCACCA
RNAcentral lists this transfer RNA (69 nucleotides) under Marmota monax (woodchuck). It matches the Rfam family "tRNA". Rfam says of the family: Transfer RNA (tRNA) molecules are approximately 80 nucleotides in length. The record is from Rfam by way of RNAcentral. Lineage: Eukaryota; Metazoa; Chordata; Mammalia; Rodentia; Sciuridae.